RNAcentral lists this ribosomal RNA (369 nucleotides) under Ostreococcus sp. Its description in RNAcentral is "partial small subunit ribosomal RNA". It matches the Rfam family "Eukaryotic small subunit ribosomal RNA", at positions 587 to 975 of the family's 1831-position model. The record is from RNAcentral. Lineage: Eukaryota; Viridiplantae; Chlorophyta; Mamiellophyceae; Mamiellales; Bathycoccaceae.
AGCUCCAAUAGCGUAUAUUUAAGUUGUUGCAGUUAAAAAGCUCGUAGUCGGACUUUGGCUGAGAACGGUCGGUCCGCCGUUAGGUGUGCACUGACUGGUCUCAGCUUCCUGGUGAGGACGCGCUCCUCACGGACGCGGAGUCACCGUGGUUACUUUGAAAAAAUUAGAGUGUUCAAAGCGGGCUUACGCUUGAAUAUAUUAGCAUGGAAUAACACCAUAGGACUCCUGUCCUAUUUCGUUGGUCUCGGGACGGGAGUAAUGAUUAAGAGGAACAGUUGGGGGCAUUCGUAUUUCAUUGUCAGAGGUGAAAUUCUUGGAUUUAUGAAAGACGAACUUCUGCGAAAGCAUUUGCCAAGGAUGUUUUCAUUG